CAUAAAAAUCUCUUGUGAAUGCGCCCGAUCUCGUCUGAUCUCGGAAGCUAAGCAGGGUCGGGCCUCGUUAGUACUUGGAUGGGAGGAAAAAUAAAAAGUAAGAUGA
RNAcentral lists this ribosomal RNA (106 nucleotides) under Neogale vison (American mink). The record is from RNAcentral. Lineage: Eukaryota; Metazoa; Chordata; Mammalia; Carnivora; Mustelidae.